GACGAACGCUGGCGGCGUGCUUAACACAUGCAAGUCGAACGGAAAGGCCCUGCUUUUGUGGGGUGCUCGAGUGGCGAACGGGUGAGUAACACGUGAGUAACCUGCCCUUGACUUUGGGAUAACUUCAGGAAACUGGGGCUAAUACCGGAUAGGAGCUCCUGCUGCAUGGUGGGGGUUGGAAAGUUUCGGCGGUUGGGGAUGGACUCGCGGCUUAUCAGCUUGUUGGUGGGGUAGUGGCUUACCAAGGCUUUGACGGGUAGCCGGCCUGAGAGGGUGACCGGCCACAUUGGGACUGAGAUACGGCCCAGACUCCUACGGGAGGCAGCAGUGGGGAAUAUUGCACAAUGGGCGGAAGCCUGAUGCAGCAACGCCGCGUGCGGGAUGACGGCCUUCGGGUUGUAAACCGCUUUCGCCUGUGACGAAGCGUGAGUGACGGUAAUGGGUAAAGAAGCACCGGCUAACUACGUGCCAGCAGCCGCGGUGAUACGUAGGGUGCGAGCGUUGUCCGGAUUUAUUGGGCGUAAAGGGCUCGUAGGUGGUUGAUCGCGUCGGAAGUGUAAUCUUGGGGCUUAACCCCUGAGCGUGCUUUCGAUACGGGUUGACUUGAGGAAGGUAGGGGAGAAUGGAAUUCCUGGUGGAGCGGUGGAAUGCGCAGAUAUCAGGAGGAACACCAGUGGCGAAGGCGGUUCUCUGGGCCUUUCCUGACGCUGAGGAGCGAAAGCGUGGGGAGCGAACAGGCUUAGAUACCCUGGUAGUCCACGCUGUAAACGGUGGGUACUAGGUGUGGGGUCCAUUCCACGGGUUCCGUGCCGUAGCUAACGCUUUAAGUACCCCGCCUGGGGAGUACGGCCGCAAGGCUAAAACUCAAAGGAAUUGACGGGGCCCCGCACAAGCGGCGGAGCAUGCGGAUUAAUUCGAUGCAACGCGUAGAACCUUACCUGGGUUUGACAUGGAUCGGGAGUGCUCAGAGACGGGUGUGCCUCUUUUGGGGUCGGUUCACAGGUGGUGCAUGCCUGUCGUCAGCUCGUGUCGUGAGAUGUUGGGUUAAGUCCCGCAACGAGCGCAACCCUUGUUCACUGUUGCCAGCACGUUAUGGUGGGGACUCAGUGGAGACCGCCGGGGUCAACUCGGAGGAAGGUGGGGAUGACGUCAAGUCAUCAUGCCCCUUAUGUCCAGGGCUUCACGCAUGCUACAAUGGCUGGUACAGAGAGUGGCGAGCCUGUGAGGGCGAGCGAAUCUCGGAAAGCCGGUCUCAGUUCGGAUUGGGGUCUGCAACUCGACCUCAUGAAGUCGGAGUCGCUAGUAAUCGCAGAUCAGCAACGCUGCGGUGAAUACGUUCCCGGGGCU
This 1347-nucleotide ribosomal RNA is filed under the name uncultured bacterium. RNAcentral describes it as "partial 16S ribosomal RNA". It matches the Rfam family "Bacterial small subunit ribosomal RNA", at positions 28 to 1381 of the family's 1533-position model. The record is from RNAcentral.